Molecule: unclassified non-coding RNA, 279 nt
Filed under: plant metagenome
Description: partial contains small subunit ribosomal RNA, internal transcribed spacer 1, and 5.8S ribosomal RNA
Source: RNAcentral
UUUCCGUAGGUGAACCUGCGGAAGGAUCAUUCUUGUUUAACCGAGAUGCGAGGGCUGUCGCUGAUCCGCACGUUCUUUCACGCCCGAGUGCCUUCCCUCACAUCCAUGUCACCCCUAUAUGCACCACCGCGUGUGUCCCCCUUUAACCUGUUCGGAGGAGGCCUUACGUUUUCACCCUACCUUAGCGUGCCGCGUAGCUUGUACUUUUUGUUUUUGCGCUCACGCACUCAAUACCACUUUCAACAACGGAUCUCAUGGCUCUCGCAUCGAUAUAGAACC